RNAcentral lists this ribosomal RNA (253 nucleotides) under uncultured bacterium. RNAcentral describes it as "partial 16S ribosomal RNA". It matches the Rfam family "Bacterial small subunit ribosomal RNA", at positions 524 to 776 of the family's 1533-position model. The record is from RNAcentral.
UACAGAGGUCUCAAGCGUUGUUCGGAUUCAUUGGGCGUAAAGGGUGCGUAGGUGGCGCCAUAAGUCAGGUGUGAAAUCUCGGGCUCAACCCCGAAACUGCACUUGAUACUGUGGUGCUGGAGUACUGGAGAGGAGAUUGGAAUUUACGGUGUAGCAGUGAAAUGCGUAGAUAUCAGGAGGAACACCGGUGGCGAAGGCGGUUCUCUGGGCAUUACCUGACGCUGAGGAGCGAAAGUGUGGGGAGCGAAACAGG